Molecule: long non-coding RNA, 4216 nt
Filed under: Malus domestica (apple)
Lineage: Eukaryota; Viridiplantae; Streptophyta; Magnoliopsida; Rosales; Rosaceae
Description: long non-coding RNA (MDOM_LNC003859)
Source: RNAcentral
AAAAAAAAAAAAAGAGAAAAGAAAAAAAAAAAGAAAGAUUGUAUACAAAGAAAAGAAAAAAAAAAAAAUGUUUUUUAAAGUUUCAGUUUAAGGGUGUGAUUGGAGGUUUCAGAAGAAUCGUUGGAGAGCUUGAGUUCUUAUAAAUCUAGACAAAAGAAUUGCUUGCAAUGUAGCUUGGAACUUGUGUUUUCCUAUUCUUUCAUUUCAAUAACCCUAUCCCUAAGCCUCAUUACAUCCAAUAAAAAGUCCUCUUGAUUUAAGUUUUGCAAUUAUGACUGUGGAGAAGUGAUCUUUAUGCAAGCUUAUGGUAGAAAUUUCACAUUUGAUUCUUUGAGCGAAACACAUUAAAACUAAACACAUGUGUGAUUGAGUGCAUAUCCAGUGAGAAUGUCGCUAGUUUGCAUAUGAUGUUUUUAAAAAUAAAAACUUGAAAUUGCAUUAGCAUGGCUAUCUCACACACUACACUUCAAGGAUGAUUCAAAGAUUACUGCUAAUAUUUGAAUAAGGAAGAUGAACUUGGAUUAGUUUGUUGGUGCUAGCUAUGGUUCUUGAUGAUUUGUUUUCUCGAAUGAAAUUCUAUGAGGGUCACAUAGGGGGAAACUAAUGUUUUUCAUGUUAGUACUUUUUCAUGUUUUCUUUGUUUUGCUCGAGGACUAGCAAAAGCUAAGUAUGGGGGUAUUUGAUCGGAUCAUAUUUAUAUAUAUUUUUACUUCAAAUUCACUUGUCUUUUCUUAGUUAGUUCCUUAUAUUUUUGAGCUAUUUACGUUAUUUUUGUGUUUAUAGGAUUUGUUAUGCAAAGAAAAUAAAAAUGGCACAAAUGAGUUUUAAAUAAUAAAUUCGUCAAAACUAACAUUUCAUUCAUCCUUUCGACUGGCAAAUAAAAAAAAAUAUAUAAGCAGCAUGAUGCGGCAAUGCUACAAAUCAAAUGAUUAAAACAAUAUGGUUGGACGUGAUCGGGACAACCGGAUAUUUAAUAUUGGAAAGGGUUAGUGAAAUGGGAAUGGUAGUGGAAUGGUGGGAACUUGUUUUGGUGCUAAAGGAGACGCACAAAGAAAAAGAAAAAAAAGAGUGGAAAGCUGCCUGUACAUAUCACACAUGCGUGCCUAUAUGGUAUAUGGACGCUAAGUUUAUCAGUGGAUUAAUUAAUAUAUGGCUAAUUCUGUGUUCUUUCAUGCAGGCUGAUGUCGACCAUUAAUUAGCCAAAGUUGCGUUUGGUGAGGGAAUAAUAGAAAAAGGGCUGCACCUUGCAGCACUAGAGAAUAAAAAACUAGAGCACCUUGUGGAGUGGAACGAAAAAGAAAACAAAAGGAAUAUAAAAGUUGGCAGCUUGCGUGAGAAAAAAAAAAAAAAAAGGAUAUAAGGAUCGCUGCCUUGCAGCGUGGAGGGGGGCUCGGCAUUUUUGUGCAGUGUGUGUGUGCUGCCCUUUGGGCAGUACCUGGAGGCCUCGGGGAAAAAAUAGAAGAAGCUGCCUCUUGUGCAACACGUGAAGAGGGAGAGGGCCUCAGCAGAGAAGGUACAAGCUGCCUUUGCAGCUGGGCAGUACCGAGAAGAAGUCAGAGAAGGUGCGAGAAAAGAAAAACAAAACUCUGCUGCCCGUGGCAGCAAGGCAGAGGAGCAGUCGGCCCUUGCGCGCAGCGACUGGAAGAGCAAAACAGAAGCACUUAUCUUUUGGUUAAAUCUUUCCAAACUUUUAUUUUAUUUCUGUUUUUAAUAAUGUGUAAUUAAAUUUAUGUUGGCUAGAGGUUAAUUCAAAACCAUGAAUAUAUUUGUAAUAUGAAUUGAUUACCUUCGGUUGUGAUUUCAUAAGUUGUGAAUUCAAUUUACUUAUCCGUUCGUAUAAAAACUGAUUUGUGUAUGUUGGUUGAGAGUGCACGCUUAAUUUACAUGCAUGAAUUUGAUGCUAGAAUAUAAGUGAAUUUCACCUAAUCGUUAUGAACUUAUAUUCAUAAGUAGUAAAGGUUGCUAGUCACAAUCACGUUAAGUAAAUUCUUGGCAUAAGUUUCAUGCAAAUCAUAGUAACGAGUGCAUCGUCAAUGCUUAUGUUUUUCAUAGAACUUAAUGAUUCUUGCUUGUAUCUCUAUUAUGCAAUUCAUGUAGGGAACUUGUAGGGAAUGUUUUGGGUUGUCGUAUGCAAUCAUCCAACCCAAUAACUUGUGGAAAAACUGAGGGUUAAUUAGUGCAAUUCACGGUUAAUUUGGGGUGUUGAGUAUUCAUAGCUUAUCGAAAAGCAACUGGAAAUCAUUUUGUAUGCAAGUAUAACAUGUGUGGAGAAGAACCCUCUAGCUAGUCCGUCAUUUAUCAUUUUACCUUAAUUUUAUGUUUUUGUCAAUUCUGUAAUUUAAUUAAGUUUAAUUUACUUUUCAUCAAAACCAAACACCCAUCCAUUAUUAAAUUAUAUUAUUUAGUUAGUUUUCUUUAUUGUUAGUCUUUUAAUUUAAUUUCCGUCCAUUUCAGUUCCUAGUGUUUAAUUUAAUUGUUUUCAUUAUUUUGAGUCAUUUUAAGUGUGUUUCGAGUUAUUAGAGUUUUUAGCCUAGUUUUGUGUCCUUGAGUCUUGUUUAAUAUUUUUGAAUUAAUUUAGAAUAGAUUAGCAAUCCCUCCUAAUCCCCGGCAACGGCGCCAAAAUUUGGUGUGAGAAUUACUUGACACACAAAUUAAACCCUCUUUUUGACAGUUGUAGUAUAGUUGUAAGUAGGGUAUAAAGAGUAUAAAAAAUGACCAAAUUGAAAUUUUUUGUACCUUCAACUACGAACGAGUUUCAUUUGUUUCCAUGUUGUUGCUUUUUGUUUUCAUAAAAAAAAAAAAAUUUUAAAAAAAAAAAAAAAUUUAAAAAUCGGAAAAUUUAAAAAAAAAAAUCCAAAAAUAUUGUCUUGUUUCCCUUAUUGUUUUGAAUUAGAUUUUUGUUAGUUUCCCGACCCAAUGAUAUAAUUAGAUCAAAUUUGAAUCAUGAUUAUCAAGAACUUAGUUAACAUGUGUUUUGUGAAAUUCCUAAUUCUCUUGUUAGUUUUGUACAUGUUUGAUCAUCUUUGAAAAACCAAAUGCACAUAGCCUUGUUAAUGUGAAACUAAAGUAUGACUUAAAGCUUCAUAUGUGAAUUUAGUGACCAUAUACAUCCUAUGUGAGUUUUUGAGCCUAUUGAAAGUGUGUGCAUUUUUCAUACACUCCUAUUCUUUCAUGUGUGAUGAACUUAUGUGAAAUACAUCUCUAGAACUUGCGUAACGAUCUUUCGAAAUGUUUGUCAUUGAUUGCAUGAACUUGGAAAUGAUAGAGGCAUUAGGUUUACCACCAUGGCCCAAAUAACCAUGUAUCCCAAAGAAAAAAAUGAUAUUAUUAGAUUGCCAAUUUGAGCCGUGUAUGUUGAGCCUUUUAUUUCUUAUCACCAGAUAUGUCUACCCUUAUACCUGAAAUAUUUUUCCUUACCCUUUCCAAGCAAACUAGUGAGCAAUGUGAGAUUGUCUUAUGAGAAAUGUUUGUGAAGUACUUUGAGGGUGUUGGGCAAACGAAUAAGUGUGGGGGUAUUUCAUGUUUGUAUAAAAAUAAAAAAAAAAAAAAAAAAAAAAAAAAAAAAAAAAAAGAGAAAAGAAAAAGAAAAAGAAAGAUUGUAUACAAAGAAAAGAAAAAAAAAAUGUUUUUAAAGUUUCAGUUUAAGGGUGUGAUUGGAGGUUUCAGAAGAAUCGUUGGAGAGCUUGAGUUCUUAUAAAUCUAGACAAAAGAAUUGCUUGCAAUGUAGCUUGGAACUUGUGUUUUCCUAUUCUUUCAUUUCAAUAACCCUAUCCCUAAGCCUCAUUACAUCCAAUAAAAGUCCUCUUGAUUUAAGUUUUGCAAUUAUGACUGUGGAGAAGUGAUCUUUAUGCAAGCUUAUGGUAGAAAUUUCACAUUUGAUUCUUUGAGCGAAACACAUUAAAACUAAACACAUGUGUGAUUGAGUGCAUAUCCAGUGAGAAUGUCGCUAGUUUGCAUAUGAUGUUUUUAAAAAUAAAAACUUGAAAUUGCAUUAGCAUGGCUAUCUCACACACUACACUUCAAGGAUGAUUCAAAGAUUACUGCUAAUAUUUGAAUAAGGAAGAUGAACUUGGAUUAGUUUGUUGGUGCUAGCUAUGGUUCUUGAUGAUUUGUUUUCUCGAAUGAAAUUCUAUGAGGGUCACAUAGGGGGAAACUAAUGUUUUUCAUGUUAGUACUUUUUCAUGUUUUCUUUGUUUUGCUCGAGGACUAGCAAAAG